CCAUGCCGCGUGUAUGAAGAAGGCCUUACGGGUUGUAAAGUACUUUCAGCAGUGUAGGAAGGUGGGUAAUGUUAAUAGCAUAUUCAUUUGACGUUAGCUGCAGAAGAAGCACCGGCUAACUCCGUGCCAGCAGCCGCGGUAAUACGGAGGGUGCGAGCGUUAAUCGGAAUUACUGGGCGUAAAGCGCAUGCAGGUGGUUUGUUAAGUCAGAUGUGAAAGCCCGGGGCUCAACCUCGGAAUUGCAUUUUGAAACUGGCAAACUAGAGUACUGUAGAGGGGGUAGAAUUUCAGGUGUAGCGGUGAAAUGCGUAGAGAUCUGAAGGAAUACCGGUGGCGAAGGCGGCCCCCUGGACAGAUACUGACACUCAGAUGCGAAAGCGUGGGGAGCAAACAGGAUUAGAUACCCUCGUAG
RNAcentral lists this ribosomal RNA (412 nucleotides) under uncultured bacterium. RNAcentral describes it as "bacterial SSU rRNA". It matches the Rfam family "Bacterial small subunit ribosomal RNA", at positions 392 to 793 of the family's 1533-position model. The record is from RNAcentral.